GUGGCAAGAAGAAAAGCUUAAGAAUUUCAAGUGGCUUGAUUGAACUCUUCUUCAUGGUCGCUGAGUCAAGGACCUUCUCUUCUAGUGAAUUUAAGGGUUUUGUGGAUCACUAGUCUUUCUUUAUGAACUCUGUCCUCUUUUCUCAUACAAUUUAUCUUUUCCACAUAUGGAUGGAAUAAAACUGCAGAAAAUAUAAUGAAAUGGAUAACCAUAUAUUUUUUAAAAUAGAAAUUUUUGAGUAUUGACAUUCAAGGUUUUAAUUCUAGAUUUAAAAAUACAUUUUAUUUACACACUCAUCAGUUAAUGGACGCUUGAAUUAUUUUCACUUUUGGUCUGUUAUGAAUAAUGCUACUAUGAACAUUAAUGUAUAAGUAUUUGUGUGAACAAAUAGAACAGACAUGGUCAGUU
Molecule: long non-coding RNA, 408 nt
Filed under: Pan troglodytes (chimpanzee)
Lineage: Eukaryota; Metazoa; Chordata; Mammalia; Primates; Hominidae
Description: lincRNA
Source: RNAcentral